Molecule: ribosomal RNA, 253 nt
Filed under: uncultured bacterium
Lineage: Bacteria
Description: partial 16S ribosomal RNA
Rfam family: Bacterial small subunit ribosomal RNA
Source: RNAcentral
UACGGAGGAUCCAAGCGUUAUCCGGAAUCAUUGGGUUUAAAGGGUCCGUAGGCGGUUUGGUAAGUCAGUGGUGAAAGCCCAUCGCUCAACGAUGGAACGGCCAUUGAUACUGCCAGACUUGAAUUACUGGGAAGUAACUAGAAUAUGUAGUGUAGCGGUGAAAUGCUUAGAUAUUACAUGGAAUACCAAUUGCGAAGGCAGGUUACUACCAGUGGAUUGACGCUGAUGGACGAAAGCGUGGGGAGCGAACAGG